This is a long non-coding RNA of Felis catus (domestic cat), 1329 nucleotides long. RefSeq lists it as uncharacterized. Lineage: Eukaryota; Metazoa; Chordata; Mammalia; Carnivora; Felidae. The record is from RefSeq and is a predicted model, not a curated record. The transcript is spliced from 2 exons.
CUCUCUCUGUCCCAAAAAUAAAUAAUAAUUAAAAAAAAACUCCUCUUUCUUGGUCCCACUCAGCCAUGCCCUAGGUGCCCACAGAUCUCACCCCCCAAAAACCUGUGGGCAAGUUGCUUAUGUCUCCAGGCCUUUAUGACCUCAUUUGUGACAGAGUGAUGCAUGAUCAUCAGAAUUAUGUGAUGAGUAAGCCAUAUACAGCACCUGCCACACUCAGGGCAUAGACGUCUCAAUCAUUACUGGUUCCUUUGUCCUCCCCCACUCAGAUCACAGCCCUAAAGUUCAGUUUAUCUGGGGCGAGGAGUCGGGGCCCCAGAGAAGUUGAGGGACUCACCACGGCUCCACCAGUAAAAACCGUGCCUAAACACCGGCUCCUAGGCAUUUGAAGACUAACCGCGGAUCAUGAUUUCACAAAAAUUAGCCAGACCAAUAGGCAGCGGGAAUUGAAGGUAGUAAGCUACAGGCAUGGGGGCUGUCGGGAAAGAAAUGCUCAAGGUGAUCAAGGUAUUUCUUCCUGAAACACACAUGUUGUGAAGCAGGCCGUUGAAGGGUGUAACAAACACGGGAAAGAACUUGCCUGAAGACUCUGAAACAGAAAUAUGUCUCAAAGGCUACAGCACAGACCUUCAUUUGUAGCUAGUCAUCUCUGCCAAUAUCUAAUCUCCACUUCCUCAGAAAUAGAUUUCCUGAUAUUUUUCCAUGGGGCACAUGAACACCCACAAGAAAAACUACAUUUCCCAGGCUCCCUUGUAGGCAGUUAUGGCCAAGUGACUAAGUUUUGGCCAAUGAGAGAUAAGACGGAAGUGCUGUGUACAACUUCCAGGAAGUGUCUGUCAGGGAAUGACCGUGCCUUUCUCUCUUCUCUUUCGGCCGUCUUUCAGACGUGAUGCUUGCUGGAUCCUGAGCAGACGUCCUGGACCAUGAGUGGCAUGAGCAACCAGUUUUGGACUGCCUAUCUGCAUGGUAUGUGCUGGAUAGCUAGUUUGUACAACCAUACCCUAAACACCCCUGCUAAUAACUACCUUGAGAAGGUAGGGAUCCCGUCCUCCCUUAUAUUCCCAUCAAGCAUAAUGUGCAGAAGAAUGUGUCGUUCAGCAUUCAAGGUCAGGAGCUCUGGAUAUGGCCAACCCACAGCGUCUCCCUUGUAACGAAGAAUGUCAAGUUGGCAUGCCUUGAUCUCCUUGGAACGUUGGCCGUGCACAGAGGGGAGGGCUAAGUUGCUAAGCUACAAAAGCUUGCUGCAUGUAGACCCCAGCAGUGGAUGCUUUAUCCAGGCAGCCACUCCUGGACUCCCCGCACAAAAGUUGCCCCAAUAAACCCGUAUCUUGA